UGGGGAAUUGUUCACAAUGGGCGACGAGCCUGACGACGCAACGUCGCGUGGAGGAUGAAGGUCUUCGGAUUGUAAACUCCUGUUGAUCGGGACGAAAAGCUUCAACCUAAUACGUUGAAGACUGACAGUACCGGUUGAGGAAGCCACGGCUAACUCUGUGC
RNAcentral lists this ribosomal RNA (161 nucleotides) under uncultured bacterium. RNAcentral describes it as "partial 16S ribosomal RNA". It matches the Rfam family "Bacterial small subunit ribosomal RNA", at positions 355 to 508 of the family's 1533-position model. The record is from RNAcentral.